UAUCAAUAAGCGGAGGAAAAGAAACCAACAGGGAUUGCCCCAGUAACGGCGAGUGAAGCGGCAACAGCUCAAAUUUGAAAUCUGGCCCCCAGGGCCCGAGUUGUAAUUUGCAGAGGAUGCUUUGGGCGCGGCGCCUUCCGAGUUCCCUGGAACGGGACGCCACAGAGGGUGAGAGCCCCGUCUGGUCGGAUGCCAAGCCUGUGUAAAGCUCCUUCGACGAGUCGAGUAGUUUGGGAAUGCUGCUCUAAAUGGGAGGUAUAUGUCUUCUAAAGCUAAAUAUAGGCCAGAGACCGAUAGCGCACAAGUAGAGUGAUCGAAAGAUGAAAAGCACUUUGAAAAGAGGGUUAAACAGUACGUGAAAUUGUUGAAAGGGAAGCGCUUGUGACCAGACUUGGGCCCGGCGGAUCAUCCAGCGUUCUCGCUGGUGCACUCCGGCGGGCUCAGGCCAGCAUCAGUUCGGCGCGGGGGACAAAGGCUUCGGGAACGUGGCUCCUCCGGGAGUGUUAUAGCCCGCUGCGUAAUACCCUGCGCUGGACUGAGGUUCGCGCUCCGCAAGGAUGCUGGCGUAAUGGUCAUCAGCGACCCGUCUUGAAACACGGACCAAGGAGUCGUCUUCGUAUGCGAGUGUUCGGGUGUCAAACCCCUACGCGUAAUGAAAGUGAACGCAGGUGAGAGCUUCGGCGCAUCAUCGACCGAUCCUGAUGUUCUCGGAAGGAUUUGAGUAAGAGCAUACGGGGCCGGACCCGAAAGAAGGUGAACUAUGCCUGUAUAGGGUGAAGCCAGAGGAAACUCUGGUGGAGGCUCGCAGCGGUUCUGACGUGCAAAUCGAUCGUC
Molecule: ribosomal RNA, 834 nt
Filed under: Cordyceps gunnii
Lineage: Eukaryota; Fungi; Ascomycota; Sordariomycetes; Hypocreales; Cordycipitaceae
Description: LSU rRNA
Rfam family: Eukaryotic large subunit ribosomal RNA
Source: RNAcentral